Long non-coding RNA from Ochotona curzoniae (black-lipped pika), 141 nucleotides. RefSeq lists it as uncharacterized. Lineage: Eukaryota; Metazoa; Chordata; Mammalia; Lagomorpha; Ochotonidae. The record is from RefSeq and is a predicted model, not a curated record. The transcript has 3 exons.
AUUCACUCCCCAAAUGCAGGAGGAAGAAGGGACAAGGCGGGUAGGUAAAAGGAGAUUGCGGGCUGUAGUGUUUUGAGUGUGGAUUUCAGCAAUACUGAGUCACUAAUUUUUAAAAAUUACUUUAUUUUUAUUGGAAAGGCA